AAGCACCUGAUGAGACUUUCAUACUGAAACGUUGUUUUGGUCUAUUUUUGAACACUACGAUGUUAAUAAGGGAUGGUCGCAUUUGCGAGGCAUUUGUCUGAUGCGCUA
Drosophila grimshawi is the source of this 108-nucleotide small nucleolar RNA. It matches the Rfam family "Small nucleolar RNA Me28S-Am2589". From Rfam's summary of the family: Me28S-Am2589 is a member of the C/D class of snoRNA which contain the C (UGAUGA) and D (CUGA) box motifs. This family directs 2'-O-methylation of 28S A-2589. NCBI's taxonomy places the organism in Eukaryota, Metazoa, Arthropoda, Insecta, Diptera, Drosophilidae. The record is from Rfam.